UACCUACGGGGGGCAGCAGUGGGGAAUAUUGCACAAUGGGGGAAACCCUGAUGCAGCGACGCCGCGUGAAGGAAGAAGUAUUUCGGUAUGUAAACUUCUAUCAGCAGGGAAGAAAGUGACGGUACCUGACUAAGAAGCCCCGGCUAACUACGUGCCAGCAGCCGCGGUAAUACGUAGGAUCCGAGCGUUAUCCGGAUUCAUUGGGUUUAAAGGGUGCGUAGGUUGUUUUAUAAGUUAGCGGUGAAAUACCGAUGCUCAACAUCGGGGCUGCCGCUAAUACUGUAGGACUAGAGAUCGGAUGCAGG
This 305-nucleotide ribosomal RNA is filed under the name uncultured bacterium. Its description in RNAcentral is "bacterial SSU rRNA". It matches the Rfam family "Bacterial small subunit ribosomal RNA", at positions 335 to 658 of the family's 1533-position model. The record is from RNAcentral.